UACGUAGGGGGCUAGCGUUGUCCGGAAUCAUUGGGCGUAAAGAGCGUGUAGGCGGCUCGGUAAGUCCGCUGUGAAAGUCGGGGGCUCAACCCUCGAAUGCCGGUGGAUACUGUCGGGCUAGAGUGCGGAAGAGGCGAGUGGAAUUCCUGGUGUAGCGGUGAAAUGCGCAGAUAUCAGGAGGAACACCAAUUGCGAAGGCAGCUCGCUGGGACGUAACUGACGCUGAGACGCGAAGGCGUGGGGAGCGAACGGG
RNAcentral lists this ribosomal RNA (253 nucleotides) under uncultured bacterium. Its description in RNAcentral is "partial 16S ribosomal RNA". It matches the Rfam family "Bacterial small subunit ribosomal RNA", at positions 524 to 776 of the family's 1533-position model. The record is from RNAcentral.